GGUAGUGUGGCCGAGUGGUCUAAGGCGAUGGUUUAAGGCACCAUUCUCUCCGGAGGCAAGAGUUCGAAUCUCUUCACUAUCA
RNAcentral lists this transfer RNA (82 nucleotides) under Daphnia pulex (common water flea). It matches the Rfam family "tRNA". From Rfam's summary of the family: Transfer RNA (tRNA) molecules are approximately 80 nucleotides in length. Their secondary structure includes four short double-helical elements and three loops (D, anti-codon, and T loops). The record is from Rfam by way of RNAcentral. Lineage: Eukaryota; Metazoa; Arthropoda; Branchiopoda; Diplostraca; Daphniidae.